This 410-nucleotide long non-coding RNA is filed under the name Sarcophilus harrisii (Tasmanian devil). RNAcentral describes it as "lncRNA (ENSSHAG00000028631.1)". The record is from RNAcentral. Lineage: Eukaryota; Metazoa; Chordata; Mammalia; Dasyuromorphia; Dasyuridae.
AUCAUCUCUAUGAGUAUGAUUUUUUGAUCUUUGACUCAUGUAUUUAGCUUGAUCCCAUGCUGCUUUCUUUCCUUCUGGGAAGACCUUCCUAACUCUCAGAAGGAGAAUGGUGUAGGGGGAAAAAGUCUGCAAAAAGUAAACGAUAAAUGUUUGUCAAACUGAAGAACCAAUAUGGAUAAAUCAGACUACAGAUACCCACGUACACAAAUAAGAAGACACAGCAAACAGAAAAUUAGAGGGCUAAGAAUUGAUCUAAAACAAAGCUUCUUGAACUGUGGCAUGGAACUGUAUAAAUGAAUGUGGACAUUGUGAAAAAUUUGACAUUAAAAGGUUUCUGAAUGCUCUAUAUCCUGCAGUAUCACAUAUUCUGCCAAGAUUUAAUUCUUUAUGUAAAAAAUAAACAAGCAAAU